GCAAGGUGCUUAAUAUAUUGUUGGUGUUCGAAGGUAAUAAAUGGCAACAAUUGAGCAAAACAUAUAAAACAUUUUCAAGACAUCGGUAGACACACUCGGGAAUAAUAUGAAAACACGCGUGUCUACUGUCGCAAGGUACGCCAAAAUCUAAAAUGUAAUGACGCAUAAAGUAAAAACUUGUCUAUGAAAAUAAGACAUUUUAUUAAUAUUUCGCUCCAUUACUCAAGACAAAUAGCUUUACAGAUGGGCAGUGAACCAAACAGAGCGUAUGUUCCGUAAAACACCUGCUGUACAUAUAUAGAAGUUCAUAUAUCUUUUCGUGAGGUUCGCAUGUUCCGUAUAGACUUUUGUUAUAAUAUUUGUCUUUUCUUCCGUUCAGCCAUGUAUGUGUUAGAGACAACCGGUAAAGAGAAACCGAACGGCUCUAACAAUCCACAAGUUUUAUUUCUGCUGUACACGUGUGUAGUGUAUUUUAACAUAUGAAGAAGGACCACAUUUUGACUCUUCUGGGAGCAAGUUUUUAUUUAUAGUUUAGUACAUGCGUCACAGGGCAUUCAUUAAAAUUCCUUUGACGGGUACAAAGGGAUGCUCUUUGUGUGUCCCAUUGCACAUUUCGAAGUUAGAUUAUAUAAAACCAUAUACGGACAAAGCGAAUACAUAUCAUUGAAAACAUCGCAACAGAUGGUUACACAUAACAUUUAUGAUUUAACCGCUAAUGGUAGUCUAGACCUGACGCUUUCUGUAGGCAGCUCUGAAGCAUUUUCUCAUUAAAAUAAAAGACCAAAAAAAAAAAGAAAAAUGCGAUAAUGCAUUACAUACAAAUGCAAUGUCAUUGCUUAUAAAAUAUAUAAAUACAAAUAAUGGGGAAAAUGUGAGUCAGCAAUAAAUUUAGUCAGACAAAAAAAAAAAAAGAAUAAAAAGGCAAGAAAAAAUAAAACAAUACUUGGUGACUAAUUUAGCUCAUUUUGCAAAAAAACGAAAAGAGUAUAUUACAAUUGUUCAUUAUAAGUCUUUUCGCUUUAUUCAACCAUUAUAUAAAAGAAAUAUAUCAUUUUACAUAAAUCAAUAGGUGUCAAACGGUCAAAGAUCUAACGAAUUUCAAAAUUUACUUUAGAGUACAGGGUGUAUUCACUUAGAUACUUAUCUCUUACAAAAUAUUACACAGAUAAAUGGUUUCUUAAGAUGAAAAUCUCCACACUUCAUUUGCUGUAAAAAUUACUUAUAAAUACAUUGUUACUUUCCAGUUGAAAUAUAACCUAUACUACCCUUAAGUAAUCAGCGUUAAACGUUUCAUUGCGCCUAUCUAACAAUCUUAGAGGUUUUUUUUUUCGUUUAAGAUAAAAAUCGCACAUUAAUUUAGAAAAAGUAGUAAAUCACUGUGCGAAAUUUCGUACAACUAUGAUGAUUUGUCAAAUUUAAUUGAUAACAAGACAUGAGAAAUUAUGAAAGAUCGCGAAGAAUAUUUGGAUGUUUAAAAAGACUUUGAAUCGAAACAAAUAAUUUAAACACUGACGGAAAUAUUUUAUGCAUGCCACUGUUUGGUAAAGCAUGGGCAAACUAAAGAUUUUUCAAGUCGAGUAUAAAUGGAUUCACUGAUGAGUACACCCAGGCGUUCUGUCGGACGUUCUGACAGUUUCAAGUCCUUAAACCAAACCUUAAACCGAUCGUAUCAAUCUAUUAUCAGUUCCAACAACAAGGCAACAUCGUACGAAACGUUGAGGGAGCGUGCUCUAGCCAGGAGGGUUUUGUUCGAGGACCCAUUUUUCCCAGCUCAUGAUACUUCCUUGCAAAUUAGAUAUAAAUCCUCAUCAGAUUCCAUAGAGUGGAAACGACCUCAUGAAAUUUCUAGGCGACCAAAAUUUAUUUCCAAGAAUCCUGGAAUAUUCGAUAUCCAAUCCGGAAGUUACGGAGACACGUGGCUUGUCCCGGCUUUCUCGUGUCUUACACUUGCACCAUCAUUGAUUCAAAAAUGCAUACCAGAUGAGCAGGAUUUUGAUGAAAAAUACGGCGGAAUAUUUCGUUUUCGAUUCUGGAGAUAUGCGGAGUGGAUUGAGAUUGUCAUAGAUGAUCGUCUACCAACAUAUAAUGGGAGAAUACUGUUUACUACAAGUACUGAUCCAAAUGAAUUCUGGGUACCAUUGCUGGAGAAAGCAUAUGCAAAGUUUUAUGGUUCAUAUGCUGCAAUCCAAGGCUCUGUGGUGAACUGGGCACUUCAAGACCUUACAGGGGGUAUCACCGACACUUUUAUCUUCAGAGACAAUAUAAACCUGCUGCAGAAAAUCAUCGACUUCUCCAUGGCAAGAACUACACUUAUUGCAGCCACCAUAGCGGGACAAGGUGUUCCUCAUGGAAGCUUUCCAAAUGGUCUGGUGGCCGGAAGAGCUUAUACUGUAACUGGAUAUGCGGAAGUACCAUUCCAAGGCGGUAGUGCAAUAUUGGUACGCUUGAAAUAUCCAUGGGGACCUUCUAAAUAUACAGGACCUUGGAAUUCCAGGUCAAGCUUAUGGGAUUCGUUGUCGGUUGAUAUGAAACAAAAGUUAGGUUAUGGGCAGUUAAAGGAUAAUGAAUUCUGGAUGUCAUAUUCAGAGUUCGCAAGAGUAUUCACAAAUUUAGAGAUGUGCCAUUUACCACCAGAGGCUUGGAAUAUAGAGCCAAAACUCAAACACAGGUUGCCAUGGAAGUCUGUGGAGGCUCAUCGCCAGUGGAGACGCGGUUAUAACGCUGGAGGAGGACUUCAUUCACAACUGAUGAGCUGCAACAAUCAGUUCUAUAUAGAACUGAAGAAGUCUAGUGGUGUUGUGCUUUCUCUCAUGCAAAAGUACCGCCUUUUUGGUGAAGUCAGAGAGUUUGUGCCAUGCGGUUGCUUAAUAUUUGAGGUUCCCCCUGGACGGACAGCUCGGCUUCAAAUGAAUAACUUCUUGAAUUCCAAACAAAUUGCUUCUACCGGUGUCCGCGCCGAAAGAGACAACGUUCGUUUCUUUACCCUUCCUGCAGGUUCAUACGUUAUUGUGCCAGUAACAGGGAAAGUUGGUGUGGAAGGAAACUUUUGUCUGAGAAUAUUCUCUGACAAUCGAGACAUUGUAGUAAGAGAACUGGACGACCCCGAUACAGCCUCAUUCGCACCGGUUGAGAAGCAGUUGGAUCCAGAAACUCUGUAUGUGCUGAGAAGGAGAUUUAACAUGUACUGCAACAAGUAUGAGGAAGUGGAUGGUUAUGGCUUGCGGCAGAUCUUGUCCUAUAAGCCUCAAAGUGGAGCUACACAAUUACUUUGUUGUGAACCUGAAAAAGACGAGAUGCACAUAAAACGAUUGUUCCUGUCGCCAGAGACGUGUAAAGCCGCCGUCACUAUAGAGGAUAAAGACAUGAACGGUCGGCUUAAUUUCGAAGAAUUCAUGUCACUGGUACAGAAACUUUCCUUUUGGCAGAGUAUAUUUCUGAAGUUUAGCGUAGGAAAUGGCUCGGUCAUGGAUUCCUACUCUUUACGAAAUGCAUUUAGAAUAACAGGGUUUUCUGUGAGUAACAAAAUAUUGGAGGCUUUGGUUCUCAGGUUCGCAGCAAAAGACUUUAUAAACUUGGAGGGGUUUAUGAAUUCUAUCAUCAAACUUCAUGUAGCACAUAGAAGUACUACAACUAAAGAAAUUGUAGCAUUGAUAGGUAAAUUUAUUCCUAAACCAUUUUGGUUUCUUGUCUUUUGUCUGUCGGAAUGGCUUCUGUACUGUUUAUUGUUAACCUGCUCUAUGCUUUUAUAUAUAAAUUCUUGUCAUAUUCCAAAGGAACAUAUAUCUUACGGGUCUUUGAAGGUAUGGUCAAAAGUAGUUAUGGCUUUACAGUGUUCGUGUUUUUGUUGCAACCCUCGUAUACAUGUAUAUUUGAUCUACAUGUAUCUACAUAAGAAAUUAAAUGCUUAAUUGGUCAAAUCAAAUUAUUUGUAUUUCAACAAAUUAUUGAUUUUUUAUACAAUUUAUAUUUCCAAUUCCAAAGACAUAACUACUUUACUGGCCUAAUGGGUGACGUAUUUGGUGAUAACACCACUACACAUAGGUUGCGCUGAAGUUGCACUUUUUGCAAGCGUGUAUAAUUUGCAGGCUUAUAUACAUUUUCAAUAUUUUUCUUUCCAAAUAUUUUUAUUCCUUAAUGUGUCAAAGGUGUUGUUUUAAUCCUCUAUUAAUCUACCUAGAUUGUAGUUUGAUACCUCACCAACUUUUCUUAUAAUUUAGUUCAUUAUAUAGUAUAUAUAAUACAACUUGAAACAUUUCUUUUCUAUAAAUGCAGUAACACAUAUGAUUUGACUUUCUGUAACUAUUCAUCUUAGAUUUGAAAGAUUGAGGAAUUGGUCAAAUAUUUCAUUGUGCAUUAUCAAUAAUUAUCCUAUGACAAAAAUCUUUUAAAACAACAUUUACUUUGAUUGCUAAAAUUCAAAUAAGACGAAAUAUGUUAAAGUGUAAAUUUUUAAUCUCAUAUUUAAAACAUUUUCUGACUUGCAGAUCGCCACGCACACGCCUCACAAAGCUUGCCUGCAAUGUCAGAUGCUGACCAUAGGAAAUAUUUACAAGAGCUUUUACGGACAUCCAUUUACUCGUGAUGUAAAUAUCUGAGGAGGAAUUCAUGAGGAACAAACGUCUGCUUUUAUUAAAAAUGCGUUGUGAUAAAAUCCAGUUAUUCAAGGAAAUUUUUCAUUGGAGAGAUGGACAUCAUUCUGGAGCUGUACUAUAUUGAACAUAAAAAACAUAAAGAAUGUGCAGUGCUUGGUGCAUUUAUAGUUGUACUGUUUCGGAAAUUAUUUCAUGAUAAGUGUGAAUUUACAAGUACCUGUAUAGCAAGCAGUUUCUAAGGGCGGUGGUACAAACCAAAGUGGUUUUGAACAUACUAAUGUAAAACAUUUGUAACGUAUUUUCGAGACCUAACGACCUUGGAUUUGCCUGGUAUCUGCUCGGGUUGUGAUCCAUAUCGAGAAAAGAUGCUUAUUCAUUUGAUUCAAACUAAUAAUUCCAAGCGCAUUUGGCUACAUCUUAAUUUUGAGAUCUUUCAAUCUUUCAGGUUUUGUGAUAUAUACUCAUAGAAUCACAAGCUUAACCAUUUAGUACAAUGUAGCAUCAUAUUGGCAUGUUUCAUUUACUUAUAACGUUGUUUUUAAAUUUUGGAUAUUGAAAUGUCCAGUCAAAGGAAACAGUUUCGAAAUCAGCUUUUAUCAGUUUCAAAGCAAAUCACUAGAUAUUUUGAAUAUAAAGAUCAUAUUUACAUAAUAUGACACUAUAUCUAACGCAUCACAAAAUAAAACCUACUAUUGGGCAAAACGAAUGUAUAUUGUUUGUAGUCUUUUAAAUUUAGUUAUUAAUUUAUGAAAUAAAUGCGAUAUAUUAACCCUA
This is an RNA transcript of Mercenaria mercenaria, 5366 nucleotides long. It is a transcript of the gene named calpain-A-like, with no coding region annotated. The record is from RefSeq and is a predicted model, not a curated record. NCBI's taxonomy places the organism in Eukaryota, Metazoa, Mollusca, Bivalvia, Venerida, Veneridae. The transcript has 22 exons.